Molecule: non-coding RNA, 2566 nt
Organism: Electrophorus electricus (electric eel)
Lineage: Eukaryota; Metazoa; Chordata; Actinopteri; Gymnotiformes; Gymnotidae
Source: RefSeq, a predicted model, not a curated record
UAAUUACCUCACCACACUGGCUUUAAUACAGCCUAUAAUGACUCUCUAGCUUGAACACGGUAAUUUAAAGCUUGUAGGACACACAUAUAUACACCAUAUUCUUUUGAUUUAGUGUGAAUCUCUUAGUAAAUAUUUCACCUUAAAUCCCAAGUCUGAAUAUUAUUAGAUUAUGGUGGUUAAAACUGUCUGCUCGCUACUCAGUGUUGGUGGAAUUUUACUGGGCUGGGGGGUUUAAAAGGCCGCACCAUGCUGAACGUCCCAUAAUAUUAACACCUAAGCGCACAGGAAAAUAAGAUAACUCACUCAGGCAGAGCAGCUGCUGAAUCACAUCGUUAGAAUCACUCAAAAUAAUCCCUGUAAGUCUACUGAUUAGUUUGUACUGAUCAGUUAAGUCUGACAUCAUGUGUUUUUUUUUUUUGUUGUUUUUUUUUUUGCAAACUAAGCAAUGCUAAUUAGAUAAAUCUAUCCCAUAAUUAGUCAGCCAUGUACUUUUAUUACUAGGCUGUCCUUAUAAGACAGUUGUCCCUGCAUUAUUUAUGUUAAUUCACUUUUCAGAGUAUACUCCAGCUAUUCAGAAACUCAUAGCUUGUUCAAAAAUGCAGAAGUGUGAUACAUUAGCUGUAAAUAAGUCUUGAGCAGAUUCAAACAAAUAAAGAGACUAAAUAUUUUAUAUAUGAAAAGAACAAAAUAAAACUUAACAAGAAUAUUUUUGGAAAAUGGUUGCCAUGGCGCUGAGAAAUAGAAAACGUAAUCCAAAAGAAGAAGCUGCAUAUUUUACAUCUACUUGUAAAGACAAACAUGGGUUUGAUGUGAAACAUAUUAAAUUACCUUUAUCUGAAUUUAUAUUUCUGUUUAAUUGCCUGUAUGUAUUUACUUGUUUUACGUGAAUGUAGUUUGAUGUGGUGUUUUCCAUUAGCAAAAAAGCAGGCCCAGGACUGAGAAAUACUGUCUUAACAUGUUCUCUGUUUCCUCAUGUUGGCCGUGAAGUAUUCAGCUGUGUCCAUUUUGAUAAGGGAGAUUUUCUUUCGCAAUACAGAGGAGACCUAAUAAGCAAACAUGAAUGUGAAAGGAGACAGAAUAUAUCAAGAUGCCCUAAAAGUAUUCAUGUUUGAAUUUCGUUACAAUGGAAAGCUUUUUUUGUGAGCAAUGGCAAUAUCACAGCAGAAAUGGAAAAACCUGGGAAGAGGACAAGAACACUGUGGUCUAAACAGGAAAUAAAGGCUGUGUUGAAACAUUUCAAGCCUCAUAUAACCAAAGGAAGACUGGCCAUGAUGUGCAGAAUGUCAGCAGUGCAGGACGCUGAGGAUCCUGUGCUGGCAGGCUGAACAAAAUAUAAGAGAUUUCGUUAGAAACAGAGGGAUCACAUUUAAAAGGAAAACCAGUCUAACUGAAGAGUUUAUAUUCAAAGACAUGCCAAAGUGUUUAAUAAAUCAUAAUUUUGUUUAGAUUUGGGUGGUUUUCGUUUACUUAUUAAAGAAUCUAGGAAAACAGAGUUUUCCCCUAGAGCCUAGUAAAUUUUCAGUUUAAAGAUAUUUUUUAUUAUUGAAAGUGUCCAGGGAUUGUUGAACACAAGGACCUGUUCCUCUUAAUCGUGCCUGUCUUGGCAAUGCAUCAAGCCAUCAUGUUUGUGUUUGUGUUUGUGUAUAGUCAAGUUCUAGUAAACCAUCAUUGUCCUUCUAUUACCGUAGAAUAGCCAUUUUUGUGUAUUGUUAUGUGUGUCCUGAUAAAGCAGGUAUGACCUUAUGAACCACAUCCUCGCCAUAGGUGGGACAUUUUCAGCGUGUCCCCAUAUGCAAGCAUAAUGUCAGGUUGAUAUGUUAAGAGUUUAAUUUUGUCUAGAAGAAAUCUGAAGUGAUAUUCGUGUUCUGUAAAAAAAAAAAAAAAAAAAAAUCAAAUUUUCUGAUGUUUCCAGCAUCUCUCUAGAGCAAAGGAAAGGAGGGUCCCUGUUCUGUGUGAACUGGUGUUACCGAACGGUGCAAGGUGCUCAUGACCCCAGCUAUGACACUUCAGGUGUUUCAGCACCUGGUGAGGCCUUGGCGCACUGUGUGAGUUGAAGCCCUGGAACACAGUGGAUAAUACCGAGACUCUCAGGCCAAGCCAAAGCACACUCGACCACAGCCGCAAGAAAGAGAACAUCAGAACCCUCUGAUCAGCAUUUGAAGCUCAAACCCUCCGGUCCCUGUGGUGAUCAGGUAAACAAGAAGGAGGAAUGGGGUAUAACAGAAGAAAGUAAGAGUCCCACCUUUCAGUGGGCAAUGUGGAAGCGGACAGGAAGACUUCAGACCUGGGCCAGCGUGGUCCCAAAUCUCUGCAGUGAGACAUUUUCUCUCCUCCUUUCUUUUGUCUUGCUCAUUACUUUUUCGGACACCUUUUUGUUUUAAGGGAAAGAAAGCGAGAAAAGGGAGGAGGGGAAGGUUUCUGAAAAUGAAAGCAAAACAUGAAACUUUUAACAUUGUUGUGACAAUUUGCUCAUCCCCACAAGGAGAAAUUGCUUUAGGCAGAAGUUUUUAUAGGUUACUAAAGGUUAAGGUAGUGGAUAUGUUUGCAGAAAAAAAAAAAAAAAAAA